ACACUUUGAAUGAUGACAUUCAAGAAGAACAUUAAGAUAAUAAACACUGUACUGCGACAAUGUUGAUCUAUUUUCUUAAACAGACUGUGU
Molecule: long non-coding RNA, 90 nt
Organism: Sinocyclocheilus anshuiensis
Lineage: Eukaryota; Metazoa; Chordata; Actinopteri; Cypriniformes; Cyprinidae
Exons: 3
Source: RefSeq, a predicted model, not a curated record